UGGGGAAUAUUGCACAAUGGGCGCAAGCCUGAUGCAGCAACGCCGCGUGAACGAUGAAGGUCUUCGGAUCGUAAAGUUCUGUUGCAGGGGAAGAUAAUGACGGUACCCUGUGAGGAAGCCCAGGCUAACUACGUGCCAGCAGCCGCGGUAAUACGUAGGGGGCUAGCGUUAUCCGGAUUUACUGGGCGUAAAGGGUGCGUAGGUGGUCCUUCAAGUCGGUGGUUAAAGGCUACGGCUCAACCGUAGUAAGCCGCCGAAACUGGAGGACUUGAGUGCAGGAGAGGAAAGUGGAAUUCCCAGUGUAGCGGUGAAAUGCGUAGAUAUUGGGAGGAACACCAGUAGCGAAGGCGGCUUUCUGGACUGCAACUGACACUGAGGCACGAAAGCGUGGGUAGCAAACAGG
Molecule: ribosomal RNA, 403 nt
Filed under: Verrucomicrobiota bacterium
Lineage: Bacteria; Pseudomonadati; Verrucomicrobiota
Description: Verrucomicrobia bacterium partial 16S ribosomal RNA
Rfam family: Bacterial small subunit ribosomal RNA
Source: RNAcentral